This 306-nucleotide small nuclear RNA is filed under the name Myotis brandtii (Brandt's bat). Its description in RNAcentral is "7SK RNA". It matches the Rfam family "7SK RNA". Rfam says of the family: 7SK was discovered as an abundant small nuclear RNA in the mid-70s but a possible function has only recently been suggested. The record is from Rfam by way of RNAcentral. Lineage: Eukaryota; Metazoa; Chordata; Mammalia; Chiroptera; Vespertilionidae.
GGAUGUGAGGGCGAUCUGGCUAUGACAUCUGUCUCCCCAUUGAUUGCACAUCUUGUCACCUCAUUCAUCGCCAGGGUUGAUUCAACUGAUCUGGCUGGCUGGGUGGGUGUCCCCCUCCUCCCUCACCAAUCCAGGUGUGUCCCUCCUGAGGCUGUGGAUAGAGUAAAGAGGAGAACCUUCCCCCAGAGAAGAGGACCAGUCUUCGGUCAAGGGUAUAUGAGUAGCUGCACUCCCCUGCUAGAACCUCCAAACAAGCUCUCUCAAAAUGUAACUCACUUGCCAAUUCUCACUCACAACCAUUACAAU